Propithecus coquereli (Coquerel's sifaka) is the source of this 1674-nucleotide long non-coding RNA. RefSeq lists it as uncharacterized. The transcript is spliced from 3 exons. The record is from RefSeq and is a predicted model, not a curated record. Lineage: Eukaryota; Metazoa; Chordata; Mammalia; Primates; Indriidae.
GAGAGAGAGCACAGGUGUCCUGCUGCCUGGGAUCUGCUGAGUGCCGUCCUUCGCAGCAGAUGAGUGUCCAGUCCCUGAGCCUGUGCAGCGGCCUGCCCUGCACUCGGGCAGGGUGGGUGCAGCCCGCUGCAUGUGAACAGCCAUUAUGUCACCCACGGCAGCCAAGGGCUCUGGCCAUGGCCACACAGGGCAGAGCUUUUGGACUCUGGGACUGCAGCUGCCCCAUAGGGCCCAGUGCCCUCACCGCACUGCUUGAGGUAUGUGCAGCACUACGGCCUGGGCGCCGCCUGUGACGACAUCGAGCGCGUGCUGAAGUGCGUGGCCGUGAAGCUGGGGAAGACGCAGAAGGUGAAGGUGCUCACGGGCACAGGUGACGUCAACGUCAUUCAGCCGAACUACCCCGAGGCAGCGCGAGACUUCCUCCGGACCUUCCGCAGGGGGCAGCUGGGCCCCGUGAUGCUGGACCUCGAUGUUCUGCAGGGCCGCCCCCCGGCCGACGCAGACCCCUGAACUGGGCGCGUGGCCUCCCACACCUGCCUGGCCUGGGUGUUUGAGGCUUGGGACAGCCUACCCUUUUCCAGAAGCUCCACGCCAGCCACCAUGACUCGGGUCCCUGCUCCAGGAAGGGACGCGGUGCUUCUGGCCCCACCGCACCUGGCCGGCUCCUGGUUACCGGGGCACCUGCCAGCAUCAGAAGAGUGUCCCGAGUACCUGGCCUGGCAGCGCCGUUCCUCCUCAGUGUCUCUUAAGGAGCUGAGCUAUACUCUGAAAUUUUUUAAAUUCUGCAUUAGAAGGCCCAUCUUCGUUGGCCCAUGAAUUGUACAGCCCUAGAGCCUGGGCCCACAUGUGUUGAAGCCCCUCUCACGCUUGGAACAUGGGAAACAGGUGGGUUGGCAGCCAGAGUUUGUGUCAGGUUCUCAGACUGGAGACCUGUCCCCACAACCAGGGAGCCUCGUUGCCAGCAGAGGGUUUAUUUCACACCAGCGAAUGUGCUCACAGACAGGGACAAGGCGUUUUGAGUAGCAAAACCCAAGGACUGGCCUUUCCCCUCAGUGCUCCGGAGGGCCCAUUUCUUGGGCCUGCGGACGGCUUUGCUGCGUACAGGCUGGGGGGUGCCUAGUGUGGGCAGUGGAGACUCCGGGCCUCUGAGCACCUCCUAGCUGACGGGAUAGUGGGCCUGUGCUUCCGCGGGGCUAGGGGGCACUGCGGGGCCCUCCCAGUCUGGGCAUCUGCACUUGAAGGAGCCUGAGGAACGUUCCUGCCUCCAGCCUGCGUCCUAGAAAAGUGCCGGGCAGGCCAGUGGGCUUGGGCGGGGGCGCAGACUCUGGGGGUGCUGCUGGGCCUGGGCUGGGGCCACCUGGUCUGAAGUUCUGGCCUUAUCUCUGUCCAGUGGCGGCCUGGCUUUGUCUCUGCCAUGCUCAGUGUGCAGCUGGCCUUCGUCUUGCGUGGGUGUCCCGCCUCGUCGGGGCUGGUCGGUGUCUUCCGCUGGCCCCUCCAGGUGUGGCUGCCCGUGUGGCUGCCCCACGCCCUGCACUCUCGGUACCUGAAGUGACCCCCAGCACCAUCUCUUCCUGCUGGAACCCUGCCUGGGCGGGACAUAACUCGGAGUCGCGGCUGUGCCAUAUGCUAAUGCGCCAAAUAAACUGUCACGGAAGAGUGAUGUUUCUGACGUCU